This 433-nucleotide ribosomal RNA is filed under the name uncultured bacterium. Its description in RNAcentral is "partial 16S ribosomal RNA". It matches the Rfam family "Bacterial small subunit ribosomal RNA", at positions 29 to 507 of the family's 1533-position model. The record is from RNAcentral.
AACGAACGCUGGCGGCAUGCCUAACACAUGCAAGUCGAACGAGACCUUCGGGUCUAGUGGCGCACGGGUGCGUAACGCGUGGGAACCUGCCCUUAGAUUCGGAAUAACUCCCCGAAAGGGGUGCUAAUACCGGAUAAUGUCUUCGGACCAAAGAUUUAUCGCCUUUGGAUGGGCCCGCGUUGGAUUAGCUAGUUGGUAGGGUAAAAGCCUACCAAGGCGACGAUCCAUAGCUGGUCUGAGAGGAUGAUCAGCCACACUGGGACUGAGACACGGCCCAGACUCCUACGGGAAGCAGCAGUGGGGAAUAUUGGACAAUGGGCGAAAGCCUGAUCCAGCAAUGCCGCGUGAGUGAUGAAGGCCUUAGGGUUGUAAAGCUCUUUUACCCGGGAUGAUAAUGACAGUACCGGGAGAAUAAGCUCCGGCUAACUCCGUG